This is a long non-coding RNA of Lontra canadensis (Northern American river otter), 227 nucleotides long. RefSeq lists it as uncharacterized. Lineage: Eukaryota; Metazoa; Chordata; Mammalia; Carnivora; Mustelidae. The transcript has 2 exons. The record is from RefSeq and is a predicted model, not a curated record.
UGGGAGGGGAGAGUGAAAGUAAGAAGACUAACAGGCUGGUGCGGUGCUUAAAUACAAGGCCCUUCUCUUUUGCUUGGAAUACUGCAUGGAUCGUUUCUCCCAGAGAAGAUGACUCCCUGAAGCGAUUUUCAGCUACAUUAAGGCCCUGUUUUAUUCAUUAUGUAAUUCCAGGGUCUUCUAUAGUCUUGUAAUAAUAGAAAUCUAAUAAACGUUGAGCUGAAAAGAAA